This 494-nucleotide ribosomal RNA is filed under the name uncultured bacterium. Its description in RNAcentral is "partial 16S ribosomal RNA". It matches the Rfam family "Bacterial small subunit ribosomal RNA", at positions 28 to 507 of the family's 1533-position model. The record is from RNAcentral.
GACGAACGCUGGCGGCGUGCUUAACACAUGCAAGUCGAACGGAAAGGCCUGCUUUCCCUUGUGGAUUGCGGGUACUCGAGUGGCGAACGGGUGAGUAACACGUGAGUGAUCUGCCCCCAACUUGGGUAUAAGCCUGGGAAACUGGGUCUAAUUCCCGAUAGGACUGCAGGGUGGUGCCUGUGGUGGAAAACGAUUUUCUAGUGGUUGGGGAUGAGCUCGCGGCCUAUCAGCUUGUUGGUGGGGUAAUGGCCUACCAAGGCGGCGACGGGUAGCCGGCCUGAGAGGGUGGACGGCCACAGUGGGACUGAGUUACGGCCCAGACUCCUACGGGAGGCAGCAGUGGGGAAAAAUGCACAAUGGGCGGAAGCCUGAUGCAGCGACGCCGCGUGGGGGAUGACGGCCUUCGGGUUGUAAACUCCUUUCGACCGCGAGGAAGCCACCUGGUUGGAAGGGUGGUGACGGUAGUGGUAGAAGAAGCACCGGCUAACUACGUG